AAAGAACCUUGUGCCAUUUCUUAGCCUAAGCAGAAAGUAGACCUGACAGUUUCAAGCUUUUUACUUUCCAGAGGCCUAAGCUGCUGCGAAAGAAGCUGGAUUGCCCUGUUGGAGAGACUAUGUGAAAAGAUACAGAGAGACAGAAAGACCUAGAGACUGCAUGGAGGAAAAUUAAAGAAUCCAGCUGACAGAAAUCUGGGGCACCAAACAUACAACCCCAGUUAGGUGAUUCCAGCCAACACCAGCUGUCCAAGCCACCCCAGCUGAGGUAUCAGACAUCUGGAAAAAACAACCAACCAACCAGAGGUCCUUCAAGAAGAGUCAUGAAUUAGAAUGAUAUAUGCCAAAGCACCUUUCAGAGUUUAAUUCUUUGCAUAAUUUUAGACUCAAAACUGGAAUUCUGGACAUAGAUAUGACCUUCGAGAACCAUCCAGUCCUGUCUCUUCAUUUUACAGCAAGAAGAUGGCCAUCUCCAACUGUAAGCCAGGAAGAGAGUCCUUUCCAGGAACUGAAUCAGUUGGCACCUUGAUCUUGGACUUCCAAGCAUCUAGAACUGUGAGCAAUAAACGUCUGUUGCGUAAGCCACCCAGUCUAUGGUAUUUUGUUAUAGCAGCCAAACUGACUAUGGCAGAAAUCUUUCAUAGGAGACCAUGAAAGAUUACACUAGAAAUUAAGACGUAGGAGCCCCUAACUCUAUUUCUGGCUUAAAUAGUAGAAAAAAAAAGUGAUUAGAACAUUAAGUCGAGGGGUGACUUCUACCUCUCAGCUACAUUAUUUUCAUUUCUAAAUUAUUACCUUCAACUAGAUACUAUGAGGUCUUUAAAUUUUGAUGAUUCUCUGAUUUGACCCUGAUUAUGCCUCAGAUAUACCUAAUGUGGACUCAGAAGACAUGAUUUUGUAAACUCUGUGAUCUCCAUAUAGGGGACUAGGCUGUGGGACUCAUGAAAACUGUUGGUUGGGCUUUAAUAACGAUUUUGUGGAACACUGAGUGCCACAUAAAUUUUCAGUUCUUUUGAGGAUAAUUGGCUAGAAUUUCAGUCUGAUAUUAAAUCUAAUUUAAAGCUAGAUUCUCAAUUUGUCUCCCAAGACCCUAACUUCCCACCCUCAUAUUUAAGCUGCAAAUAAAUUCUAGAUAGUGUGAACCAUUUCUUUGCAAGCUAAUUUCUUCCUUUAUUUAUCUCUGAGGGUCAGGUCAAUUUGCUCCACUUCAUGUUCUAAUCACUUUUCUCUGAAGAGGAAAGAAAGAAACAUGACAGCACAGACAGAUUUUUCACAUGGGCAAUUGCAAUACAAAAAUAAUGAAACUGUCCAGACCACUGGAAUAUAAUAUUAAUUUCAUAACAUGCAUGGGUAAGCUAUAUUAUAUAUAAUACUUACAGCACCUACAAUGAGGUCAAGUCUACUCAACCCAGAUUCUCUCUAUAGUUUACACCCAAGUUACAAGAAUCAAAACUGGGUUUUGUUUGUUUCUUUGUUUGUUUUUGGUAGUAAACUUCACCUGUUUUUCAGCCCAAUGGAGGAUGAAUAUUAAUAAUUUCAAGUCCAUAUAAUAGGCAUAGAAUAUAAUCACCAUAAAAUACAUUAUGUGUAAAAUAAGUGUCAAGAUACUAUCUUAGGAGAGGAGUUGUCAGGUUAAAAUAAAUAAAAUUUAAAUUUACCCACAGAAAUUUACCCUGGCAUUAUUAAAAGUCCAUUUUAAAAUGCUAUUGAUUCUUCUUAGAGCUUUUGGUAAAAUAGAACAAUAUAUCUCAUGGGGCCACUGUCAGAGUUCAA
This is a non-coding RNA of Chlorocebus sabaeus (green monkey), 1773 nucleotides long. The record is from RefSeq and is a predicted model, not a curated record. Lineage: Eukaryota; Metazoa; Chordata; Mammalia; Primates; Cercopithecidae.